CAGUAGCCGCGGGAAUACAGAGGGUGCGAGCGUUAAUCGGAUUUACUGGGCGUAAAGCGUGCGUAGGCGGCUUCUUAAGUCGGAUGUGAAAUCCCUGAGCUUAACUUAGGAAUUGCAUUCGAUACUGGGAAGCUAGAGUAUGGGAGAGGAUGGUAGAAUUCCAGGUGUAGCGGUGAAAUGCGUAGAGAUCUGGAGGAAUACCGAUGGCGAAGGCAGCCAUCUGGCCUAAUACUGACGCUGAGGUACGAAAGCAUGGGGAGCAAACAGGAUUAGAUACCCCAGUAGUCCAUGUCUCUUAUAC
This 301-nucleotide ribosomal RNA is filed under the name uncultured bacterium. RNAcentral describes it as "partial 16S ribosomal RNA". It matches the Rfam family "Bacterial small subunit ribosomal RNA", at positions 509 to 807 of the family's 1533-position model. The record is from RNAcentral.